Molecule: transfer RNA, 72 nt
Filed under: Camelus bactrianus (Bactrian camel)
Lineage: Eukaryota; Metazoa; Chordata; Mammalia; Artiodactyla; Camelidae
Also listed under: 2 other names
Rfam family: tRNA
About the family: Transfer RNA (tRNA) molecules are approximately 80 nucleotides in length. Their secondary structure includes four short double-helical elements and three loops (D, anti-codon, and T loops).
Source: Rfam by way of RNAcentral
AAGGGUAUAGCCCAGUGGUUGGACACGUGUUUAGCAUGCAUGAAGUCCUGGGUUCAAUCCCCAGUACCUCCA